Molecule: non-coding RNA, 743 nt
Filed under: Pongo abelii (Sumatran orangutan)
Lineage: Eukaryota; Metazoa; Chordata; Mammalia; Primates; Hominidae
Source: RNAcentral
AUUCAGAGCCCCAGCCUGUUCAUAAAAAAAAUCAGAUGAAUUUUGUCUGCGAAACAUUCUGCAAAAAUAUCUGACCAGUAAAUAAUCCUCUAAAUAGCCACAGCAAGGAAAGUCUGAGAAAGUGUCACAGCCAAGAGGACCCUAUAAAGACAUGAUGACUAAAUGUAACAUGGUGUCUUCCAUGGGAUCCUGAGACAGAAAAAGGACAUUAGGAAAAGAAGGAAAAAACUAUCUGAAGCCCUGUUAAAAGUCUGAGUCAUUUCUGCUCUAUUUCUUUCCCUAAGAAUGGUAAGAGCUGGGCAUUGUGGUAUGUGCCUUUAGUCCUAGCUACUCUGGAGGCUGAGGCAGGAGGAUCACUUGAGCCCAGGACUUUGAGGCCACUGUAAGCUAUGAUCAUGCCACUGCACUCCAGCUCAGGAAACAAACAGUAUUUGUUCAACAAACAAAAGAAAAUAAAAGAAUGGUAGACAAGGAAAGCAGUGGAACAGCUAUGCAAGAAGCCUACUUUCUCUUCAUGUAACACGUUGGCCUAAGAGAUCUAUAGAGCUUUUUAAAAACAGAGAAGGCAGCAAGAUUUAAAAUAAUAAAACCAGCAAUAGGUAUUUUUUAAAGUGAGAGAAACUAUCAGAGAGCUGAAGCAGAAAAGCAAGUUAAAAAUAAAGGAAACAGAAAAGGAACUGAUAUAGCUGAUUUGAUACUAGAAAGAUCACCCAGGAGGCAGCACGGAGAAUGGAUUGGAGAAG